Gossypium arboreum is the source of this 316-nucleotide long non-coding RNA. RefSeq lists it as uncharacterized. The transcript is spliced from 2 exons. The record is from RefSeq and is a predicted model, not a curated record. NCBI's taxonomy places the organism in Eukaryota, Viridiplantae, Streptophyta, Magnoliopsida, Malvales, Malvaceae.
CUCUAAACUUUUCCGGUUCAUUCUCCAUUAACAGUGCUUAUAAGAUGUUUAGGGAAAGACCGUGGAAUCAAAAAGAGGAAGCUUGGAAUCUGGUGUGGAAAUUUUCGGGAUCACAGAGGAGAUUUAUAGGAAUGGCUGGCGUCCAACUUGGAGAAUUGCCAUAGUUUCUCUUUGAGGGAUGUUGACUCCCCAUAUUUUUUUGGUUUAAUCGCAUGGUACAUUUGGAAAAACAUGAAUCUUUUCAUUUUUCAAGGAGUGUCAUCUGUAACAGCCUAUUUUUUAGUAGUGUCAAAAACAAUAAUUUGAGGAUUAUAAA